RNAcentral lists this ribosomal RNA (1764 nucleotides) under metagenome. Its description in RNAcentral is "bacterial LSU rRNA". It matches the Rfam family "Bacterial large subunit ribosomal RNA", at positions 1120 to 2910 of the family's 2925-position model. The record is from RNAcentral.
UAUUCAAAGAGUGCGUAACAGCUCACUAGUCGAGGGUCCGGGCAUGGAUAAUAAUCGGGUAUAAGGCAGACACCGAAGGCGCGGGAUAGCAUUUAAGAAAGUAUCGGUAGGGGAGCAUACUCACAGCGUUGAAUGGUGUACGUAAGUUAUCCUGGAGCGGUGAGUAAAGCAAAUGUAGGAAUAAGUAACGAUAAGGAGGGUUAGAUUCCCUCUCGCUGUAAGACCAAGGUUUCCCGGGCAAUGCCAAUCAGCCCGGGGUCAGUCGGGUCCUAAGUCUAAGCCGAUCGGCGAUGGCGAUGGCAGAGACGGUUAAUAUUCCGUCACUGCCGCAUGGGGCGACGUGGAGACGGAGCAGUGAAACCACCGCGGGGCGACGGAAGUCCCCGUUGAAGAGUGUAGGCGUUGAGGAUGGCAGGCAAAUCCACCGUCCGAGCUGAACUUGAGAGUAUGGAGUCUUCUUCGGAAGAAUCCAAUAGUGUGGGUAAUCAUACUCCCGAGAAAAUCCGCUAAGCUUAACCCAUGCGGCACCCGUACCGCAAACGGACACACGUGGUCGGGUAAAACAUACUGAGGCGUUGAGAGAUUCAUGGUUAAGGAACUAGGCAAAUUGACCCUGUAACUUCGGGAUAAAGGGUCCUCGUGAAUAGCGAGGCGCAGAGAAUAGGUCCAGGCAACUGUUUAACAAAAACACAGGGCUGUGCAAACUCGAAAGAUGACGUAUACAGCCUGACACCUGCCCGGUGCCGGAAGGUUAAGAGGAGAUGUCACUCGCAAGAGGAAGCAUUGAAUUGAAGCCCCGGUAAACGGCGGCCGUAACGAUAACGGUCCUAAGGUAGCGAAAUUCCUUGUCGGGUAAGUUCCGACCUGCACGAAUGGUGUAAUGAUCCGGACGCUGUCUCAACCAUGAGCUCAGUGAAAUUGUAGUAUCGGUGAAGAUGCCGAUUACCCGCGAUGGGACGAAAAGACCCCGUGAACCUUUACUACAGCUUAGCAUUGACCUUGGUCAUCCGAUGUGUAGGAUAGGCCGGAGGCUUCGAAGCGGGAGCGCAGCUUUCGUGGAGCCAUCCUUGAAAUACGGCCCUUUGGCUGUCUGAGGUCUAACGCGCGAUGCGCGGACACUGCUUGGUGGGUAGUUUGACUGGGGUGGUCGCCUCCAAAAGCGUAACGGAGGCUUCCAAAGGUGCCCUCGGGUCGAUUGGUAACCGACCUCAAAGAGUGCAAUGGCAUAAGGGCGCUUGACUGGGAGGCAGACAUGCCGAGCAGGCAGGAAACUGGGGCAUAGUGAUCCGGCGGAUGUGUAUGGAAACUCCGUCGCUCAAAGGAUAAAAGGUACUCCGGGGAUAACAGGCUGAUCACCCCCAAGAGCUCAUAUCGACGGGGUGGUUUGGCACCUCGAUGUCGGCUCGUCACAUCCUGGGGCUGGAGAAGGUCCCAAGGGUUGGGCUGUUCGCCCAUUAAAGUGGCACGCGAGCUGGGUUCAGAACGUCGUGAGACAGUUCGGUCUCUAUCUAUCGUGGGCGUGGGAGUUUUGCGUGGUGCCGUCACUAGUACGAGAGGACCGUGAUGGACAGACCUCCGGUUUACCAGUUGUGCCGCCAGGCGCACCGCUGGGUAUCUGAGUCUGGAUUGGAUAAGCGCUGAAAGCAUCUAAGUGCGAAGCCAGCCGCAAGAUGAGAACUCCAUUGAGGGUCGUCAGAGACGAUGACGUUGAUAGGAUGCAGGUGUAAAGACAGCGAUGUCAAAGCCGAGCAUUACUAAUUGCCU